ACUUAAAGGUCUGAAGAUACUGGUACUUGUACAGGUGGCCCUUAUCAUUAUUUUUCUGGUUUCGCGAAAAUUAUAUCGCCGAUCCAGGUCUAAAAGAAGACAUUCGCGUUGAGAAUUGAUCCCAGGAUUAUUGUUCCUCUAUCUUUUGUUGUCUCGUAAUUAUUGAAUCUAACUUUGGAGUGCAGUUGUGCUCCACAAUGUUUCUGAAGGUCCA
RNAcentral lists this unclassified non-coding RNA (214 nucleotides) under Hevea brasiliensis (rubber tree). Lineage: Eukaryota; Viridiplantae; Streptophyta; Magnoliopsida; Malpighiales; Euphorbiaceae. The record is from RNAcentral.